AGUGGGGAAUAUUGCACAAUGGGCGCAAGCCUGAUGCAGCCAUGCCGCGUGUGUGAAGAAGGCCUUCGGGUUGUAAAGCACUUUCAGCAGUGAGGAAGGCGGGUACGUUAAUAGCGUAUUCGUUUGACGUUAGCUGCAGAAGAAGCACCGGCUAACUCCGUGCCAGCAGCCGCGGUAAUACGGAGGGUGCGAGCGUUAAUCGGAAUUACUGGGCGUAAAGCGCAUGCAGGUGGUUCGUUAAGUCAGAUGUGAAAGCCCGGGGCUCAACCUCGGAAUUGCAUUUGAAACUGUCGGACUAGAGUACUGUAGAGGGGGGUAGAAUUUCAGGUGUAGCGGUGAAAUGCGUAGAGAUCUGAAGGAAUACCGGUGGCGAAGGCGGCCCCCUGGACAGAUACUGACACUCAGAUGCGAAAGCGUGGGGAGCAAA
Molecule: ribosomal RNA, 427 nt
Filed under: uncultured Vibrio sp.
Lineage: Bacteria; Pseudomonadati; Pseudomonadota; Gammaproteobacteria; Vibrionales; Vibrionaceae
Description: bacterial SSU rRNA
Rfam family: Bacterial small subunit ribosomal RNA
Source: RNAcentral